UGGGGAAUAUUGCACAAUGGAGGGAACUCUGAUGCAGCGACGCCGCGUGAACGAAGAAGGCUUUCGAGUCGUAAAGUUCUUUUAUAUGGGAAGAUAAUGACGGUACCAUACGAAGAAGCCACGGCUAACUACGUGCCAGCAGCCGCGGUAAUACGUAGGGGGCUAGCGUUGUCCGGAAUCACUGGGCGUAAAGGGUUCGCAGGCGGAAAUGCAAGUCAGGUGUAAAAUGCAGUAGCUUAACUACUGUAAGCAUUUGAAACUGCAUAUCUUGAGAAGAGUAGAGGUAAGUGGAAUUUUUAGUGUAGCGGUGAAAUGCGUAGAUAUUAAAAAGAAUACCGGUGGCGAAGGCGACUUACUGGGCUCAUUCUGACGCUGAGGAACGAAAGCGUGGGUAGCAAACAGG
RNAcentral lists this ribosomal RNA (403 nucleotides) under bacterium. RNAcentral's name for it is "partial 16S ribosomal RNA". It matches the Rfam family "Bacterial small subunit ribosomal RNA", at positions 355 to 776 of the family's 1533-position model. The record is from RNAcentral.